UACGUAGGGUGCAAGCGUUAAUCGGAAUUACUGGGCGUAAAGCGUGCGCAGGCGGUUUUGUAAGUCUGUCGUGAAAUCCCCGGGCUCAACCUGGGAAUUGCGAUGGAGACUGCAAGGCUAGAAUCUGGCAGAGGGGGGUAGAAUUCCACGUGUGAGCAGUGAAAUGCGUAGAGAUGUGGAGGAACACCGAUGGCGAAGGCAGCCCCCUGGGUCAAGAUUGACGCUCAUGCACGAAAGGCGUGGGAGGCAACGGGAUAAG
RNAcentral lists this ribosomal RNA (259 nucleotides) under uncultured bacterium. RNAcentral describes it as "partial 16S ribosomal RNA". It matches the Rfam family "Bacterial small subunit ribosomal RNA", at positions 524 to 781 of the family's 1533-position model. The record is from RNAcentral.